Molecule: ribosomal RNA, 497 nt
Filed under: uncultured bacterium
Lineage: Bacteria
Description: partial 16S ribosomal RNA
Rfam family: Bacterial small subunit ribosomal RNA
Source: RNAcentral
GAUGAACGCUGGCGGCGUGCCUAAUACAUGCAAGUCGAGCGAACAGACGAGGAGCUUGCUCCUCUGACGUUAGCGGCGGACGGGUGAGUAACACGUGGAUAACCUACCUAUAAGACUGGGAUAACUUCGGGAAACCGGAGCUAAUACCGGAUAAUAUAUUGAACCGCAUGGUUCAAUAGUGAAAGACGGUUUUGCUGUCACUUAUAGAUGGAUCCGCGCCGCAUUAGCUAGUUGGUAAGGUAACGGCUUACCAAGGCAACGAUGCGUAGCCGACCUGAGAGGGUGAUCAGCCACACUGGAACUGAGACACGGUCCAGACUCCUACGGGAGGCAGCAGUAGGGAAUCUUCCGCAAUGGGCGAAAGCCUGAAGGAGCAACGCCGCGUGAGUGAUGAAGGUCUUCGGAUCGUAAAACUCUGUUAUUAGGGAAGAACAAAUGUGUAAGUAACUAUGCACGUCUUGACGGUACCUAAUCAGAAAGCCACGGCUAACUACGUG